This 253-nucleotide ribosomal RNA is filed under the name uncultured bacterium. RNAcentral's name for it is "partial 16S ribosomal RNA". It matches the Rfam family "Bacterial small subunit ribosomal RNA", at positions 524 to 776 of the family's 1533-position model. The record is from RNAcentral.
UACGUAGGUGGCAAGCGUUGUCCGGAAUUACUGGGUGUAAAGGGCGUGUAGGCGGGACUGUAAGUCAGAUGUGAAAUUCCAGAGCUUAACUCUGGAGCUGCAUCUGAAACUAUGGUUCUUGAGUGCUGGAGAGGAAAGCGGAAUUCCUAGUGUAGCGGUGAAAUGCGUAGAUAUUAGGAGGAACACCAGUGGCGAAGGCGGCUUUCUGGACAGUAACUGACGCUGAGGCGCGAAAGCGUGGGGAGCAAACAGG